GUGACAGUGUCAGUGAUGAAGGGAGAUUCUGUCACUCUAAACCCUCAUACUGUAAUACCAGUAGAUGAUACAGCUGAGUGGUGGUUUGGUGGUGAAUUCAUAGCUAAGAUGAAUAAAGCAGAUGGACUCUUCACUACAUCUGGGGGGGAUAAUGAGGGAUUCAAAUGCAAACUGAUUCUGGACAAGCAGACUGGAUCUCUGACCAUCACAGACAUCACACCUGAACAUGCUACUCUAUAAACUACAGAUCAUGAGCACAACUGAGACAUCCAAAAUAUUCAGUGUUACUGUCCAUGAUAAUGUGGUGUCAGUGUGGAGGGGAAUAAUGUUACUCUACGCACUGGUGUUACUGAUAUACAGGGAGAUGAUCUGAUAGUGUGGAAGUUUGAAGAUCAUGUCAUCCCCAUUCCACGUUUAAACGGCCCUGUUGUCAAGGAAUGGAGAAACAUUUAUCGGAAUGGUACAACUGGAGACCUCACCAUCAGUAACAUUCGAAACGAUCAGUCUGGAAACUAUGAAGUCACCACCAGAAGUAUGACAUUACACAAGACAUUCCAUAUUACUGUUGAGAUCCCCGAGGGUAUCGCUUUUUCAUCGAUCGGGAAAGGGAUCGGAAUUGGGAUCGGGAUCCUGUUUGGGUCUGGGA
Molecule: long non-coding RNA, 646 nt
Organism: Rhinichthys klamathensis goyatoka
Lineage: Eukaryota; Metazoa; Chordata; Actinopteri; Cypriniformes; Leuciscidae
Exons: 3
Source: RefSeq, a predicted model, not a curated record